Mustela lutreola (European mink) is the source of this 4153-nucleotide long non-coding RNA. RefSeq lists it as uncharacterized. NCBI's taxonomy places the organism in Eukaryota, Metazoa, Chordata, Mammalia, Carnivora, Mustelidae. The record is from RefSeq and is a predicted model, not a curated record. The transcript is spliced from 4 exons.
UCCAGCCAUAGCCAAAGUGUUCUGAGUCCACUGUUACCUCCUAGAUUUAGUGUAAGAUGUGGAGAAAAGGGGAAAAGAAGCUGAAAUGAUUGGAACUACCUGGGGCUACAUUUGCUGAAGGCUUGCCCUGAGAAGCUGAAGAGAGCCAGAAGGUGUCGGGGGGCCUAAUGCACAGAAAGAAAUCACAAGUAGGCAGAGAGGCAGGCAGAGAGAAGAGAGGAGGAAGCCUGCUUCCUGACCAGCCCAAUACGGGACUCGAUGCCAGGACCCUGGGAUCAUGACAUGAGCCGAAGGCAGAGGCUUAACCCACUGAGCCACCCAGGCACCCAGAUAAGUACUUCUUUAACAAUUAGAGUAUCUGGUCAUUCUGAGACCUAUGUUGCCUCAGGGCAGCAAAUAACCAGGGCCAGGUGGUGGCAGCUCUCUCUAUAAGACAAACAUGUGCCUUGCAGAUCUUCACAGUUCCUGCCCAGCUCCUUUCACCCAUCUAUUCUACCUACCUGGAUCCUGCAGCAUGAAACUACACAUUAGAAAUACCUGAGUUACUAAUACAAUCCCAACAUUUAGCUGCACCCCAUACCAAUUAUAUAAGGCUUUCUGGGGUGAGACCCUGGCAUCUAUAUACAUACAUGUUAAUAUAUGCACAUCUUACAUAAUUGUACAUCUUUUUUUUUUAAAGAUUUUAUUUAUUUAUUUGACAGAGAGAAAUCACAAGUAGAUGUAGAGGCAGGCAGAGAGAGAGAGAGGGAAGCAGGUUCCCUGCUGAGCAGAGAGUCCCAUGCAGGACUCGAUCCCAGGACGCUGAGAUCAUGAAGUAUGAAGUAUGAAGGCAGCGGCUUAACCCACUGAGCCACCCAGGCGCCCCACAUAAUUGUACAUCUUAAAUACACACUUCAGUGACAUUGAAUACAUUCACCCUGUUGUGCAACUUCAUCACCCUUCAUAGGUAGAAGUUUUUCAUCAUUACAAACAUAAGCUCUUGUAUCCAUUAAAUAAUAACUUCCCAUUCCUCCUCCCCAUCCCCACCUACCCCCCAGCAGCCUUUGGGAACCACCACUGCACUUUCAGUCUCUAUAAAUUUGUCUAUUCUAGGUAUUGCAUAUAAGUGAAAUCAUAAAAUACUUGUCCUUUUGUGUCUGGCUUUUUUCACAUCACUGAAUAUUUUCCAAGUUCAUGUUUCACAUCACUGAAUGUUUUCCAAGUUCAUCCAUAUUGCAGCAUGUACCAGAAUUUCCUUUCUUUUCAAGAUUGAAUAAUAUUCCAUUGUAAGUAUGUAUUUACCAUAUUAUUAUAUUUUGUUUACCCAUUCAUCCAUUGAUGGAUAUAUGGAUUGUUUCCACAUUUGGGUUAUUGCGGAUGAUGCCGUUAUGGACGUUGCUGUAUGAGUAUCUCUUUGAGUCUCUGCUUUCAAUUCUUUUGGGUAUGUACCAAGGAGUAAAACUGCUGGAUCAUAUGAUAAUUCUAUGUUUAAUGGUGUCUGCAUUUUUAGUCCGCUUGGUGAUUCCAGUGUAUAGACAAGGCUGUAAACUUCGGCGUUAGAGCUUGUAACCUCUGAAGAAUCUUUACCUUCUCAUUCCAGUAUGAGGAGGGAAGCAGCGGGCAAGAAGCAAGUGGGCAGCUUAGCUGAUUUAGCCAAAAGACAACAAAAUGAAAAAUGAUUUUGAGAGUAUACAGAAACUUUCUACCUUCUUACUCAAGCCUCUGAAAAAAUUCUCUGCAGCCCUUUAUUGGACAUUUCUAUCAGCCUUUCAAGAGAGCUAUCUUCAAAGAAUAUUUUAAAUUUCAUUAUAUAUACAGCUUUAAAAUAUUAAUUCAAUCUGUAGAAUUUUAUAAAAAUGUACUGGAUUGGAAAAUGACACAAAAAUAAUAUCCACUGGUUUUCUUUUAUAAUAUCAUCCAACUAAAGUGACACAUUUUGAAGCAACCUAGUUAUUAAAAUGCAGCUUUAUGCUGGUAUGAAUGUCACUUAUUUUUAAAAGGAAAGUAAUUUUACAUGAUUUUCUCUCUUAUUUUUUGUCCUGAUGAUACCGGGAGAUCUGUGAUUCAGGGACUCCAUCAAAUGGUCUUGUCCCUUCUACCAUGCUACUUUAAAUGAAGACUGAAAGCUUUUAGAAUCCUUCUUCCCAGGGGAACUUAUGAAAUGUCAAAUGGUCACAUCAGCCACUUGGACUAGCCUGGGAAUGAAGACUUAAUUUGGUCAUGGGAAUAGUAGAUAAAUAUUUCCUUGAAGUUCUUUCACCAUCCUGGUCUUUCUCCUCUGAAAACAUUCCAUCAUGUUGUGUCAUUGUCCAAAAUGGAACACUCACUGAACUGAACUCAAUUUAUCAGGGAUAUCAUUUAGUGCUCUUAGUGUUCCAAGUGGUAGAAAACCAAAUUUAUGUGAUUUAACACUGAAGAGAGGUUGUGAGUUCAUAUUAUCUAAAAGAAAUUGGAUGGGCUUCAGAUGAAGCUUGAUCCAGAAGUUCAGACAGUGUCACCAAGUUUUCAACUGUUCUUUUCUCUUCUCUCCAUACUAUAAUCCAGUGUUGGCUUCAGCAGGUCUGGCAGGUCUGGACUUUCCAGUUAUGUUAUCAAAAGACCAGUUCUGUAUCUCUCAUCUUCAUAGCACAUGUUCCAGAGGGAGCCACGAGGCUCUAGUAAAUCUAACAAGAGUCCGUUCCUAAAGCUAGUAGAGGCAUCAAUCCGACCCAAAUCUCAUGGCUGAGAAUGGGAAGGAGGAAAUUCAGCAUUCUGUUUCUAGGGAAAGGGAGGAAUGCAUUCUGAGCAGUAAAAAACAUGGGUCGACUAUUCCAGGUGUGUUCUGACCAAUGCACAGUAAGUAUGACUCUUAACUCCCCUAAACAGUGUUAUCUAAUGGAACUUUCUGCGAUCCUGGAAAUGUUCUAUAUUCAUGCUAAUACAGUAGCCACCUAACCACACGUGACUAUUGAAAUGUGGCUAAUAUGACUGAGAACUGGGUUUUUUAUAUUGUUUAAAUUAAACUUAAUUUAACCUAAAUAGGUUAACAUGGCUAGGGGCUGCCAUAUUGUACAGCACAGUUAUAGAGACUUUUGUUUCCAUUAAAGCAACUGAAGAUCACAUUUGUUUUUUGGCAGGCACAUAAUAUUAUUUAUAGUACAUAAUGGAGCUUAUUAUCAACAAAAUUCCAUAGCUUUUUUUUCUAUUUAUGAGUCUACUGAGUCAUGUCUUUGUCAUUCUGUACAUUUGCAAUUAAUAAUUUAGACUUAAAUGAAAGAUUUCACAUUUAUGCCAGAUUGGAUUAUGGGGCAUCCCCAACCUUAAAGAAAUGUUUUAUCCUGAUAUUUUUUUCCACAAUAUUACUUGGUCACCAACCUUAUGUUGGUCUCUGUCAUGAAGGGAAUCUAACCUAUAGCAACACUUUUUUUUCUUUAAAUCUUGAGGAUUAUAAAUGGCUUUCAAGAGUCUGUGACACUUCUGAAAGUACAUGUAGAUUUUUGUGUGCUUUUUUUUUUUUUUUUUUUUUAAGGAAAGAUCCCAGUGCCUUCAUUAAAUUUUCAAAGGUUAAAGUCAAUAAUCAAGAAUUUGUGUCUUUGCACAAAUUAUUAAACCAAGGCAGGAAUCUGUGGCCUGUUGUUAAAAAUGGCCCUCCCGAUAAAUACCAGUGUUUUCCCCAGGCUCUGUGUCUAGUUCCCUAGACCAGAAAAAUAGUGAGUUUCUUUCCUUUUUUUGUUUUUUUUUAGCUUUAGUUGCCCUGCCCUGCGCCAAAAGUGCUGCCCAUUAUAAGGCAAAACCACUAAAGUCAGAAAUUUAAAGUUUUGACUUCAAAAUGGACUUCCAAAAUCUCCCAAUUCUUGUUCACUAAGUAUUGCAUCGAGCAGGAAUAUCAAUGAAGCAAGAUACAAAGUGAAACUAUGUCCACUAGUGCCAUUCUUGGAGCACCUGAUGGUCCCAGGGUAGGCUUUCCCUUCAGAGCUCCUGCAGGGUUUGAAGAGGAAGACCGCAGGGCAAAGUGCCCUUCUCAUGACAGGAUAUUGCUGUGCUCAUCACAACUUUGGGCUCUGCUAUGAUAGAAGAGCUACACUAUAAUGGUUCUGAAGUCAGAUGGCCUGACCUCAUACCCUGGCCCAACUACCUAUACACACAUGACCUCAGGCAAGUCCAUUUUUCUCUCCAAAUCUUAGAUGCUUUAUUC